RNAcentral lists this non-coding RNA (30 nucleotides) under Homo sapiens (human). Lineage: Eukaryota; Metazoa; Chordata; Mammalia; Primates; Hominidae. The record is from RNAcentral.
UGCAUCAAGUCAGAGAACGGAUCUGACCCA